Molecule: ribosomal RNA, 253 nt
Filed under: uncultured bacterium
Lineage: Bacteria
Description: partial 16S ribosomal RNA
Rfam family: Bacterial small subunit ribosomal RNA
Source: RNAcentral
UACGUAGGGGGCAAGCGUUGUCCGGAAUUAUUGGGCGUAAAGAGCGCGUAGGCGGUCCGAUAAGUCGGCUGUGAAAGUCAGGGGCUCAACCCUUGGAAGCCGGCCGAUACUGUCGGACUAGAGUCCGGAAGAGGCGAGUGGAAUUCCCGGUGUAGCGGUGAAAUGCGCAGAUAUCGGGAGGAACACCAAUGGCGAAGGCAGCUCGCUGGGACGGUACUGACGCUGAGGCGCGAAAGCGUGGGGAGCAAACAGG